Long non-coding RNA from Rosa rugosa (rugosa rose), 557 nucleotides. RefSeq lists it as uncharacterized. The transcript is spliced from 3 exons. The record is from RefSeq and is a predicted model, not a curated record. NCBI's taxonomy places the organism in Eukaryota, Viridiplantae, Streptophyta, Magnoliopsida, Rosales, Rosaceae.
ACGAGCUCUAGCUCUUGCCGCCCAUACUUUCCGUCGUCGACUUCGACUCCGAUUCCGGCCAAAUCCGGCCACAAUUUUUACACCAUUCUCUUCCUCUCUUCAUGCAUGGGCUUUCUAUUGAUAUAUGCUUCAAGACCUAUCAUCAAGUGUGCUCGACGAAUCGAAGGAGAGAAGAUUGAGUGAUUUUCUGACUAUUUUUCAAAUUUCGGCCAAACCAUUGAGAAUUUGGAGAAACCCCAAGGUAAUCCGGUUGAGCAAGCUUCCGAGGACAUUCCCGAGACGGGACUCACCUAGUCACCCUUUAUUGGGCUCUUUGGAUUUCCGUUUUGCCCAGGUAGUAGAUUUCGCUGAGGUCGGACCGCACCACGUUGAGGCAUUCUCCUUAUCCACCUUCAUCCAUCUUGACUUGUAGGGUUUGUUCUCUUUCGUACUCUUACGUUUCUUACUUAAUUGGACCGUGUAAUUUAUGCUUUGAUGUAACCAUAAAUUGAGUAUUGGAUUCCUAAGUUGUAAUUGUUGGGUUAGAACCCUCGUAUUUGGUUGGUGGUGGAUGUUUU